This 20-nucleotide microRNA is filed under the name Pongo pygmaeus (Bornean orangutan). Its description in RNAcentral is "ppy-miR-1227". The record is from miRBase by way of RNAcentral. Lineage: Eukaryota; Metazoa; Chordata; Mammalia; Primates; Hominidae.
CAUGCCACCCUUUUCCCCAG